CCUACGGGAGGCAGCAGUGAGGAAUAUUGGUCAAUGGGCGUAGGCCUGAACCAGCCAAGUAGCGUGCGGGAUGACGGCCCUAUGGGUUGUAAACCGCUUUUGUUGGGGAGCAAUAAGGUCCACGAGUGGAUCGAUGAGAGUACCCAGCGAAUAAGCAUCGGCUAACUCCGUGCCAGCAGCCGCGGUAAU
This 189-nucleotide ribosomal RNA is filed under the name uncultured rumen bacterium. RNAcentral's name for it is "partial 16S ribosomal RNA". It matches the Rfam family "Bacterial small subunit ribosomal RNA", at positions 338 to 524 of the family's 1533-position model. The record is from RNAcentral.